This 1360-nucleotide ribosomal RNA is filed under the name uncultured bacterium. RNAcentral's name for it is "16S ribosomal RNA". It matches the Rfam family "Bacterial small subunit ribosomal RNA", at positions 28 to 1386 of the family's 1533-position model. The record is from RNAcentral.
GAUGAACGCUAGCGACAGGCUUAACACAUGCAAGUCGAGGGGCAGCGGGGGUAGCAAUACCCGCCGGCGACCGGCGCACGGGUGAGUAACGCGUAUGCAACUUACCUAUCAGAGGGGGAUAACCCGGCGAAAGUCGGACUAAUACCGCAUGAAGCAGGGGCCCCGCAUGGGGAUAUUUGCUGAAGAUUCAUCGCUGAUAGAUAGGCAUGCGUUCCAUUAGGCAGUUGGCGGGGUAACGGCCCACCAAACCGACGAUGGAUAGGGGUUCUGAGAGGAAGGUCCCCCACAUUGGUACUGAGACACGGACCAAACUCCUACGGGAGGCAGCAGUGAGGAAUAUUGGUCAAUGGGCGUAAGCCUGAACCAGCCAAGUCGCGUGAGGGAUGAAGGUUCUAUGGAUCGUAAACCUCUUUUAUAAGGGAAUAAAGUGCGGGACGUGUCCCGUUUUGUAUGUACCUUAUGAAUAAGGAUCGGCUAACUCCGUGCCAGCAGCCGCGGUAAUACGGAGGAUCCGAGCGUUAUCCGGAUUUAUUGGGUUUAAAGGGUGCGUAGGCGGCCUUUUAAGUCAGCGGUGAAAGUCUGUGGCUCAACCAUAGAAUUGCCGUUGAAACUGGGGGGCUUGAGUAUGUUUGAGGCAGGCGGAAUGCGUGGUGUAGCGGUGAAAUGCUUAGAUAUCACGCAGAACCCCGAUUGCGAAGGCAGCCUGCCAAGCCAUGACUGACGCUGAUGCACGAAAGCGUGGGGAUCAAACAGGAUUAGAUACCCUGGUAGUCCACGCAGUAAACGAUGAUCACUAGCUGUUUGCGAUACAGUGUAAGCGGCACAGCGAAAGCGUUAAGUGAUCCACCUGGGGAGUACGCCGGCAACGGUGAAACUCAAAGGAAUUGACGGGGGCCCGCACAAGCGGAGGAACAUGUGGUUUAAUUCGAUGAUACGCGAGGAACCUUACCCGGGUUUGAACGCAUUCGGACCGAGGUGGAAACACCUUUUCUAGCAAUAGCCGUUUGCGAGGUGCUGCAUGGUUGUCGUCAGCUCGUGCCGUGAGGUGUCGGCUUAAGUGCCAUAACGAGCGCAACCCUUGCCACUAGUUACUAACAGGUAAAGCUGAGGACUCUGGUGGGACUGCCAGCGUAAGCUGCGAGGAAGGCGGGGAUGACGUCAAAUCAGCACGGCCCUUACAUCCGGGGCGACACACGUGUUACAAUGGCGUGGACAAAGGGAUGCCACCUGGCGACAGGGAGCGAAUCCCCAAACCACGUCUCAGUUCGGAUCGGAGUCUGCAACCCGACUCCGUGAAGCUGGAUUCGCUAGUAAUCGCGCAUCAGCCAUGGCGCGGUGAAUACGUUCCCGGGCCUUGCAC